CGAACGAACUCUGGUAUUGAUUGGUGCUUGCAUCAUGAUUUACAUUUGAGUGAGUGGCGAACUGGUGAGUAACACGUGGGAAACCUGCCCAGAAGCGGGGGAUAACACCUGGAAACAGAUGCUAAUACCGCAUAACAACUUGGACCGCAUGGUCCGAGUUUGAAAGAUGGCUUCGGCUAUCACUUUUGGAUGGUCCCGCGGCGUAUUAGCUAGAUGGUGGGGUAACGGCUCACCAUGGCAAUGAUACGUAGCCGACCUGAGAGGGUAAUCGGCCACAUUGGGACUGAGACACGGCCCAAACUCCUACGGGAGGCAGCAGUAGGGAAUCUUCCACAAUGGACGAAAGUCUGAUGGAGCAACGCCGCGUGAGUGAAGAAGGGUUUCGGCUCGUAAAACUCUGUUGUUAAAGAAGAACAUAUCUGAGAGUAACUGUUCAGGUAUUGACGGUAUUUAACCAGAAAGCCACGGCUAACUACGUGCCAGCAGCCGCGGUAAUACGUAGGUGGCAAGCGUUGUCCGGAUUUAUUGGGCGUAAAGCGAGCGCAGGCGGUUUUUUAAGUCUGAUGUGAAAGCCUUCGGCUCAACCGAAGAAGUGCAUCGGAAACUGGGAAACUUGAGUGCAGAAGAGGACAGUGGAACUCCAUGUGUAGCGGUGAAAUGCGUAGAUAUAUGGAAGAACACCAGUGGCGAAGGCGGCUGUCUGGUCUGUAACUGACGCUGAGGCUCGAAAGUAUGGGUAGCAAACAGGAUUAGAUACCCUGGUAGUCCAUACCGUAAACGAUGAAUGCUA
RNAcentral lists this ribosomal RNA (790 nucleotides) under Lactiplantibacillus pentosus. RNAcentral describes it as "bacterial SSU rRNA". It matches the Rfam family "Bacterial small subunit ribosomal RNA", at positions 63 to 818 of the family's 1533-position model. The record is from RNAcentral. Lineage: Bacteria; Bacillati; Bacillota; Bacilli; Lactobacillales; Lactobacillaceae.